CAUUUAAUCCUGCUUCCAGCAGCAUAUUAUUUGACCUUAAAAAGAGAAAGGAGAUAUUUGUAGGGAUACCGAGAGUUUUUUCCAAUUUUAGAUUGUUUGGGUCUUUUUGCUCUAUUCUCCCCUUUUCAUACUUAUGGGAUUAAGUAAUUUUAAUGUAUUUGUGGUACUAAAUUUAGUCCAGUAUCGGCUGAACGUGCUAACUGCCUUCAAUCGUGCAUGUCUUUAUAUGUCUUGGUAUUGGGUAUAGAACCUUUUUGUUCUAUGUGUAGUCUUUUCAUACCACGGCUUUGUUUAAAUUGUGUGCGACGUGCUUCGCUUCGUUCGAAUUGUGUUCCCCUUGCGGCUCUGCGUGAAUUGCUUAGUAUGCAAUUCUUAAGUCGUUUUGGUCGCUACUCCUGGAGUACCACUUGCAUAGUGAGUGUUGCAUGAUGGGACUUUGCUCCGAUGAGUAUGUGUCAAAUUUGUAAUUUUAUUGCUAAUAUUUUAUUAUCUUUUCUAGUGGAAUUCCCCUAUUAUUAUUAUUUAUAAACCCGUCGGGGCUCUAGACGAACUAAACAACACCAAUAGUCUUGCAAUUUCUUCUAUCUGUUCUCAAAUUAUGCAUUUGUGAAGAAACAUUUCCCUUUAAUAUAUAAAGAUAAUUAUAUUAUUUUUUUUUUUUUUCCCUCUAAGCGUAGUUCCUAAUUAUGCCUUGACCACUCUUUAUUGCCGCUUGUGUUUCAACCGUGAAAAUUAAUUUUGGACUUUUAUUUUUUUAUUACUGGCUCAAUGUGCCAUUUGUUUGACGGUCAAGGUCUCGCGUAGCUACUAAGCUUUGCAAUUAUUGACGUAGGUCAUGAUGAAGCUUUAGUUUUCUUCUUCCCACUUUUGUUCGCAAUAAUCGCAUACUCAUAUGCGUUCCGCGAUUAUUGCUGUAUCGGAGACGUGAUUAAUCCUAUACAAUUGGCGAUGCCUGUCAUCAGUGGAUUAAUAUUUGUGUCAUCAUCUAUCUUGUCAUCUUGUCACUUGUCAUCUUUUGUGAUAUUUAGCUGUAAAAGUUAAAUUCAUGUAAUGAUGUGAAAUAACAAAAAUUUGAUCAUGUAUUAGUAAACUAAAAGAGAGAGAGAAAAAAAAAAAAUGUUCCUGUUUCGAACCUUAGAUCCUCUGAUCUUUGGUUUCGCUGUUUACUUUGAGUCCAGUUGUGAGGAACUCGAAUGAAAAGGUAUUUUAUUGAUGUUAUUUUAUGUGAUCAACUCACGUGUUUGACCCACUGUGAGUUGAUAUAUUUUUAGGUUUCCAUUCCAAUUGGAAAAUUUUCGAUGGACUUGAUUCACUGGUAUGUGUGAAACCGUGUCAAUCGACUAAUAAAAAUGCAAUUAUGCAUUAUUGAUUGUCGUCAUUCUUAAUUUGUUUCGGUAUGGGCAGUACGGGUCGGUACCCCUGGUUUUUUAGUUUGAUUUGUUCAUUAAAUUAAAAAAAAAUUCUGAGGUUAUCUUAGUGGCGGGUGACUAGCCACGGAUUAGAAUGUAGUGUCGUAGUAGUGGAAUAUUCUGUGCCAGAAAGUGGAAUAUUCUGUGCCAGAAUAGUGUGGUGAACAGUCCGCUAUGGCGGUGAGGUUGGAUGGGUUGAAUCCUGUUGCUGGUUCCAGUGCCCUGUGAGCUGCUCCCUGUCCGUGGGAUCUAUUGCGAUUGGAUUUCGAAAACUUGAAUUCGCGUAACACUGGUCAACAGUCGAUCUCGGAUUGUUUCGACCAACUUCGAGGAGGAGCCCUUAGAAAUAUUGGACUUGCACGUUUCGUGGCAUUCACUUUCGUUGAUUUGGGUCUGUUUUUCCGAUACGUCAAAGUCACUUAAGCACGUAAGUUUUUUCUACUUUUUCACUACUGGCCCAGCCAGAAAACGGCGCACCUGAGCCUAUCUUUUCAGGCUCUUUUGCGCUGUCACCAAUGAAGCGAAAUACGUACCGAGUGGUUAGACACUAUUACUGCUGGAUGUGAUAUGUCCUUUGAUUAACUGCACUACAUCUGCUCGAUUUUAAUUACUUUUAAUCUAUCAGUUAAGUUGAAAAAAUAUUAAAUCACUUAAACACUAAACCGAAACUUAAACAACGGGCAUCACUUCUGCCUCGCGGAAUAAAACUUAAGAGUUAACACCUAAACGAACCGCGGACUAUCUAUAACGACGUAGGCACCUGCCUCACGAGGGG
This is a long non-coding RNA of Wyeomyia smithii (pitcher-plant mosquito), 2184 nucleotides long. RefSeq lists it as uncharacterized. The transcript is spliced from 3 exons. The record is from RefSeq and is a predicted model, not a curated record. NCBI's taxonomy places the organism in Eukaryota, Metazoa, Arthropoda, Insecta, Diptera, Culicidae.